Schistosoma rodhaini is the source of this 51-nucleotide non-coding RNA. The record is from Rfam. NCBI's taxonomy places the organism in Eukaryota, Metazoa, Platyhelminthes, Trematoda, Strigeidida, Schistosomatidae.
GUGCUGAGAUUUCGUCACACACCAGACCACAAGGGCUGAUGAGACUCCCAA